This 274-nucleotide ribosomal RNA is filed under the name uncultured bacterium. Its description in RNAcentral is "partial 16S ribosomal RNA". It matches the Rfam family "Bacterial small subunit ribosomal RNA", at positions 523 to 796 of the family's 1533-position model. The record is from RNAcentral.
AUACGGAGGGUGCAAGCGUUACUCGGAAUCACUGGGCGUAAAGCGCGCGCAGGCGGUCUUUUAAGUUGGAUGUGAAAGCCUACGGCUCAACCGUAGAACUGCAUCCAAAACUAUUAGACUAGAGUGUGGGAGAGGAAGAUGGAAUUAGUUGUGUAGGGGUAAAAUCCGUAGAGAUACCUAGGAAUACCAAAAGCGAAGGCAAUCUUCUGGAACACUACUGACGCUGAGGCGCGAAAGCGUGGGGAGCAAACAGGAUUAGAAACCCUAGUAGUCC